This 254-nucleotide ribosomal RNA is filed under the name uncultured bacterium. RNAcentral's name for it is "partial 16S ribosomal RNA". It matches the Rfam family "Bacterial small subunit ribosomal RNA", at positions 524 to 776 of the family's 1533-position model. The record is from RNAcentral.
UACGUAGGGUGCAAGCGUUGUCCGGAAUUAUUGGGCGUAAAGAGCUCGUAGGCGGUCUGUCGCGUCUGCUGUGAAAACUCAGGGCUUAACCCUGAGCUUGCAGUGGGUACGGGCAGACUAGAGUGCGGUAGGGGAGACUGGAAUUCCUGGUGUAGCGGUGAAAUGCGCAGAUAUCAGGAGGAACACCGGUGGCGAAGGCGGGUCUCUGGGCCGAUACUGACGCUGGAGGAGCGAAAGCGUGGGGAGCGAACAGG